GAAUGCAUUCGGCCCAUGGCCUGUUAAAGUUUUUUUUUUUUUGAGGCGGCCAGACUUGGAACACUCAGGAAUACAGACAGACGUAGGAAUUGCUUAAAAAGAAGAAGUUCUCCCACCCUUGUUGGAGCGAACGCGCGAGUCUGACAGUGAACCUUUUGGGAAAGAGCCAGCAUUGUAACCGUGCUCGGUGAUUUCUCUGGCUUUAUAGGGAACAGAUGUGAGGAUAGCAAGGGGCGCACAUGUGAAAUGCCUGGCAGGUACCCCUUUGUGGCUCUACUUACUUCUUGCCAUUCCUCUGCCCUCCAAGUGUAGAGGGGACACCGUGGGCCUUGGCAGUCGCGUUCCGACUCCGGUCUGGUGUAUGGGUUGCACUCGGUCUCUCUGGCUAUUUUGUGUGUUCCGAUCUGACAGCCCACAUGCCUCUGCUGUACGCCUCGGCCACAGGACACAGAGCACUAAGAAGACAGAGAAUCGCCAGUUUGGAUAAUAUCUCAAGGCUUAAUAGGGAAGGAAGGUGGCAUUGAAAAAAAAAAUGUCCACAGCAUUACAGCAGCAAUCCUGUGUGGCAUUUUUGGCUCACUCAAGACUGUGGGUAAAUCCUGAGAACUGGAGCCAAAAAUAAAGCUCAUGAACCUGAAAUUACCAUGAAAUUCUGAUUUUAAGAAGUCCUACUAUGAAAUAGUGAUAUAUUUCUUCAACAAAAUGCCUUGUGAUUCACUGACUGGGAUAAAGGUGCAUUUCCAAAAUACAACUAUGUUCAAUUUCUUAAUUAAAUGAUUUAAGAAUAAAACUCUUCAACCAUUUUCCAGAGGAUAAGCUCUCAUUUUCCCAGUCCAUUGGGAAGAGGUGAAAAAGGCACGUUAGAAACUGAAAGGUAAGCUAGCAGGAAAGAGGCGAAGAUAAUACAAGGACCCACUCUAUGCCUGCCAUGGGAUUAUUUAUGAAAGCCGUCUGGAAGACAGGGAGGGCGGUGGGUGAGAAAUUUGUUCCAGAGGAAUAUGGAAAGAGAAAUUCUGCUGUGAGAAAUUCAUAGAACUACCUGGCAGAAAAGGAAGGGUGAUAUUGCCUCCCAGGGAACAUUUGGCAACGUCUGAAGAUAUUUUUCACUGUCACAACCGAGGGGAUUCACAGUCUGGUGAGACAAGUUUGAGAUCUCAUAUUUUCAGCUCAUCCUUGAAAACCUUUCUUUGUUUUGACUGACCUUGAUGGCUCCCUGGAAUCUCACCUACAUUUUAUGGGAAAUUCAACUCUCCAGAGAGAAGAGCUUUCAGAUAGCUACGGGACUUGCAACUACCACUUUCAGCUUUCACUUUUGAAUGAGGCUCCAAAUGUCUCAAUGGUGGCACUAUUUCCAGAUUUGGGAGCCCUGCAAAGCUAAUCUGCUCAACCUUCACCUACUGGGUUCAAUGAAUAUGAAAAGCUGCCUUCCUGAAACUUUUCCUUCAAAGAGGGAAUGAUCUCCUGGAAUUCAAGCUUCUACAAGGUGGCUACCUGGUGUUUUCCACUUUUGCCGUCUCCUAAAAAGCAUCAAUCAAGCCUUGCCCUUUCAACCCACUGAACACAUAAACAUGCUUUCUCCUUAACUGAACUUAUGGCCACGAUGAACUUGAACUCUGAGAUUCACAGAGGAGAGUUUGUUUUAACAGCUGCUUUUACAAUGAAGCCCUGGAGUUACUACUCUCAAGACCUCUGGUUCUGAUAGGCCAUCUUUUCACUGUCCUCUGCAUUUUCUAAUGCCCAGCUGUCAAGGAACACCCACUGAAGUUUUCCAAAACAAAGGCACGAAACACAAGAAAGGCAAGAGAAUGCUAAUCACCGGAUGCAUGGGCAUCCUAUGGGGGAACCCCUUACAUGUGGAAUACGGUUUUUCUCCCCAAUUUAUUUUUAUAAAUUUAUUGAUUUAUUUGCUAGUUUGUUAUUAAUUGUUAGAGAUGUCCUGUUGCCUGAGGUUGCCCUGUCCAAUAUGGUAGCCACCAGCGACAGGUAGUUAUUUAGAGUAAUUAAAAAAUUACAUUAAAAAUGCAGUUUCCUUGUCACUUAACCAUGUUUCAAGUGCUCAGUAUUAACCACAUGUGACUAGUGGCUUCCAUAAAGGAAGGCAAAAAUAGAGAACAUUUACAUCGCUGCAGAAAGCUACUAGAUUCUUUUGGCCAAGGCAUAAGCUCUUUCUCAUAAGAGAAAGGGGAUGCAGAUCUUGCUAAGAGUGAUGGAUUUCUGGGUUCAGCCUACAUGAGUCAUCUUCCAUACUACCCCUGGACAUGCUUUCCUUGGCUGCCAAUUUUCUAUUUUAUAAAUUUCAGGAAAGAGAGAUUAUGGUUGUAAAACCAUUCAUGACAAUGAUCCCACUUUAGAGAAAACAACAGCAACAAGCAAAGAAGAUGGUGUGGAGAUCCGCACAUUCCACAUCUUUUAAUUGGUACCCAUUAAAUAACAAAGGGAAAAAGUACCCUCAGACCACAACUCUCCACCUUGUGUGGAGGCCAAGGACCCAGCAGGGAGAAGGCAGAAGAUUAGGUUCUCCACUCAUCCUGGCUCUCAGACCACUGAACUCACAUUUGGGUUCUAAUGGAAUGGUGAUUGGAAGCAUAUUCUCCAAUAGGAGGUUUUUAAAAGUUCUGUUCCAUCAGCCAGGCAGCAUCUGUCAUUUAAAAUGACUGGCCAGUUGCACGUUUAAAAGCAAAGAUAAAGUUGCUAAUUUAUACUUACUGAAUAAACAUCAGCAGUGUCCAUGAAGGUACCUACCCUAAUAGCAAGUUGUAUUUUUAUUUUUAUGGUGGUGGCGAAGCUGCCAGGAAAACCAAAGCAUCAGUUCUUUAAUUACAUUUGUUUAGUAUUGAUUUAAUACUAAAAUUUCUCUUGCUCCCUUAGAACAAAGAGCUCUAACUCGUACACUGCUGUAUCCUUAGCACCUGGAACAGUCCCUGGCCUACAGUAGGCACUUAGAAAGUAUUUGUUAAAAAUUGAUUUUUUUUUUUUUAAAGAAACAACCCAGAGUUUUUUUAUUCUGCCCCAACCCCCAACCCCUGGCAUUAAAAUAAAUCUUCCUCAACUGCCAUCACUAAUCACCAGGAUUCCCUCCUAGCCAAUUAUGCUUGGACUCAACCUCUACCUCCCACUCCACAUUCCAAAGUUUCUAUUUCUUUCCAUUCCAGAAGGGCAACUCCACAACAAGAGUGAGGGAGAGGACCUGGACUCCUCCUCAGAGUCCAAUAACACUCCUAACCCUGCUCCCCCAACCUGUGGACUUUUUAAAUCCAUGAAAAUAGAACCUGUCAAGCUACCACAAAAUAGCAUCAGAAGGCAGGAUCAGUCUUUCAUGGGCAUACAAUCUCUGUAAAUACUGAAAAAAGAUUAUUAAAAGCCUGCUAAGUUUUGUCUCCAGUGAAAUAGAUGCAGGCAAGUAUUUUGAUUGUUCUGAACACAUUAGAGAUGAGUGCUACACAGAACUAAGGUAAACUUUGUAAAUUUGUAUGUGAUAACACUUUGUUCCACAAAAAACUAUCUUAUUUUUUAUACUCCAUACUGAUACAGCCAAAUAAUGUGGCUCUUAUUUUCUAAAGAUGCUAGCAAUAUGUUUAAACAUGUCUUCAUUGUAGUAAAAGUAUCAUAUUUAUAAAAAAUACAUAUGCAUUUAAUGUGAUAUUCCUUAUAGUCAAAAUCUUGAUAUCAUCCUCCUAAUCUGGCUAAAAAUGUAUCUGUAAAAUGAAAGAGAGGAAUAUUUUGCCAUUCCCUAAACAACAGUUGUUUGAAGCUUUUGUAAUUGCUGGUUAUGGGAAUUUACCAAUAACAGGAAUGAAUUUGGAUUUUCUUUUGCUGGAAUCAAAUGGACAAUGUCAUAAUUAGCUAAAUAAUGUUGAGGCUAAAUGAAGUUUGAGUUUUAGGCACAUCCUUUAUGGAAUAUAAACAGGAACCUAAAAGUUAAUUCUGAACGUAGGUUGUUUCUUUCUGCCAAAACAAUAUUAAUAGUCAGUACCCUAACGACGAGGUCCUAUCACUGAAGUAGAUUAUUGGCUAGUCAAAUGGGUUCCUAACAGCACCUCCCUCAUGGGUUAAAACAAGAGGGUUAAUGUGAUGUGCAUUUGCUUAAUUUGGCUUGUUAUACAGUAAACACACAGCAAACGUUAGCUAUUGUUAUCGUCAUUUCCUUUGGAGAAGUUAUCUUAUUUCUCACCUUAUUAAAAAUAAACCCUAACUCAUAUAGGGACCCUCCUUACCUUGGUCCUUUCACCCAUGAAUACCAUAAUAACCUAUACUGCAAAAAGGAGGCUCAGGAGGAGGAUGAGGUAUCAAUAGGCCUCCGGGACAUUUUUAUGAUUUAGGUAUUUUUUGAAAAGGGUAGGCUCUCUUGAAACUUCCAAGGUAGUUGUUGUAGUACUUUAUUUUCCUUUAAUAAGAAAUGCUUUCUGAAAUGUAUUGCAGUGAACAAAUAACAAAAUUGACAAAUGCUGUAAGCCUUUUACAGUUAUCUGAACACACAGAAUAAAGUGUAAUCAAAUUUAUGCACAUUAGGUUUGCUUUUUCCUGUACCUAGCUGUCUCUUAUGUGUUCAGAACCAUUUCUUCCAAUCACCUUUUUUUGUCUUCUGGCUAUAAUUUAUCAUUAUCUACAAAUUCAAUAAAUGGAGCAUGCAUAUUUCAUAGUUGAGACUCAAUAACUCAGGACAACAGUAUUAGAAAAGAAAAAAUACCCAACAAAAUGUUAAGCCUCAUAUAUUUUUGUUUAUAAAUCUAAGCAUCAUUUCCAACUCAGAAAUAUGUUUUUAAAGUAUCCCUUUAAAAUACAUACUUGAAGCUGUCUAAUUACACAAAGCUAGAUAUUUGGCUAUUCAGAUUUGAGGGAGGGGUUGUACAGGUUGGAGGGAAUUUACAAAAUUAAAAUGUAUCUUUUUAAAACCGAAAGAAACAUAUACAUUCAUUUCUAAUCCACAGAGCCUACUUGCCUUUACAGUCUGCUGAUAAACACUGAUUUUUUAAACAUUGUAUAUAAAAUUAAAUAACAUGAAAAAAUAAAUAUGCUUUAUUAUAUAACACAUAGAAAUCUGUACUGCUCAAAAUAUUCAGAAAAUUCUAGGUGUGGCUGCUUAAAACUGUGUUUAGAAAAUAUGGUAGUGAUAUUUACAAUCUUUAUUCCUUCUAGGGAGAGAAGCAGUGAGGUUAUAAAAUACUGGUAUCAAACAUUUUCUCUUCCUACCUACAGAAGCUGCAAACUUUAAUACGAAAAUGAGGUAGACAAAAAUUCAUAAGUUAGCCAGGCAGAAACAAAAGCACAAUUCCUUCAUGAGCUCAUAAAUUCUCAUUACUUGGGUCGACAAGCAUUAUUCCAAUGCACCUAAAGCAAGGCUCAGAGAACAUUCUUAGGUUUGUCAUGAAAAACCCAAACAAGCAAUUUCUCCUAAGGAGAAGCACAGUUUCCAAGGUGAUCAGCAAGCAGGUUGACAGGGCAAUGCACAAAGGAACACCGAAGACCCAUCUUGGAUACAUGGUAUCACCUAGCAGACUUAUAAUCUGUGAUUAUCUAGAUGAAUUAGCUUUCUCUAGAACGCUCUGGAUUUUUAGCCUACUUUCUGCUGUGGUUUGACAGUAUAGAGGUCUCUUUCCAAUUUACUCCUCAAGUCAUAGGACAUAUGCAUUGACUACUUAGUGUCCUCCUGGGACUGACUGCAGGAGUCGACUGAAAGGCAUGUGAGUUUAAGAACCUUAUUUCAGGCUGGGCAUGGUGGCUCAUGUCUGUAAUCUCAGAACUUUGUGAGGCCAAGGCAGCGGAUCACCUGAAGUCAUGAGUUUGAAACCAGCCUGGCCAACAUGGCGAAACCCCGUCUCUACUAAAAAUACAAAAAUUAGCCAGGUGUGGUGGUGGGCACCUAUAAUCCCGGCUACUUGGGAGGCUGAGGCAUGAGAAUCACUUGAACCCGGGAGGAGGAGGUUGCAGUGAGCCGAGAUCGCACCACUGCACUCCAGCCUGGGCAACAGAGCAACACUCUGUCUCAAAAAAAAAAAAAGAACCUUAUUUCAAAAACAAACAUUACCAAAAAAAGAGUCCAAAGGCCCAUUUUAAAAAGGAUAGAAAAGGUUGAAUUUCUGGAGGGUAUUUCUCACCAUCACGAUUCUUAAAUCCGCAAUGACUUGAGCCAGAACCAAUGGCUGAUCUAAGAUGGUGACUUAAACCCUAGGUUCACAGAAGCUUCAUUUUAGGGACGCUGGAAGCUAUAUUAAUAGUGAUUUGGGGUUUCUUUCCUAAAUACUGCUCUUUAGUAACAAGUGUUGAAGUAGGCUAUCUCCAUUUUGACCUUGGAGAAGGCUAAUUCACACAGCAGCAGUUGCUUCUUGACAUCAUCUAAUGCAUGGGAGUACUGGGAGAGAGAAAGCAACCAGGCAGAAGGAUUAAUUGCUACCCUUGGUCCCUAAUAAAUCUAAGUUGCUUUCUGUUGAAAGCAACAUGUUAGCACCUCCAACAUACUUUUUAUUGUUGUUAGUUUCACCGUCAGUUACAAUGAUGAAGCACCAUGGAAGUGGCUUUAUGGCUAUUAACACAAUUACUGAGGUAUGCUUACAUUUGGAAUUACCAAGAUAUUAUACCAAAGCAUCCACAGAAAUAAACAUACAAUUAAAAUCAAAACUCUACAGUAAGAAUCUGAAAGACUGCCCUCUCACUCAUAUAUUUAGGAAAAGUAAUAUAUUACAAAGGUAUUUUAAAGAGAAUGCUUUUGAUUUAAUUUUUUAAGAUCACAAUUAAAAGCCUUGCAGAAGUGGCCUUUCUCUUAGACUGUAGAGGCUUCGCAUAUUUGAAUAAUGAUCACUUUAUAAAGAAACCACUGAAAUCAUAUAGGCAGCAAAAUGAUUUUAAAAAUGCAUGCACUUGCUUCUGUGCAUACUAGAGCAUUAUAAUUUCUUUCUCUCUCUCUCUUUCUUCCUCUGUUUCAGAGAACUGUGUGCAGGCCCAAGGAGAACAACUACAUGAAAUAAACCUUAUGUUUUCAGUUACAAUAAUUAGCAGUUCAUGUUUUCAAAUUUAAACAUUUAUGCUCUUAAAAUAUCUGCAGGGGAGGGUAGUGAUCCUGUGUGAAAAAAAAUUUAGUGUAUUUAGAAAGUGUUUAAGGAAGAGAAUACCAUGGAAAUUAAUUUAUAAUUCUCUAAGACUUAUGUUUUUCCCCGUUUUCCCAAAUAAUUCUUCCUGGAGAGGUAAAUAUAGAAUAAUCAAUGGAACUGAGAUGAUCAGUGGAAUUGAGUCUGGGAAGAGAAAUGCAGGUUUCUUUUUUUCACCAAACCACAAGAACAUGCAAUAAAUAGGCUUGUGUGUUUCUUCCUAAGGGUUAAGAGAUUUUUUUUUUCUUUGGGUCAAAGUUAAUGAACUACGACUUUGUGGAGAGCUAGUAGACUUUCUAAAACAUAACUCUGGUACUGGUAUUGCUGUUGGUCUAGUGAACUGGGUGAUAAUACAAUGAGCUUAAGAGGGAAUUUCAUGAAAAAUAAUAUAUAAUAGGAGAUGAGGGAAGUUGGGAAUGUCAGAAGAUGUUCCUGAGAUUCUAAGGUUAUUUCUGAUAUUCAAAAAUGUUCAUCUGGGGAAGGUGCCAUUAUUGUAGGGAAAAUGCUCCUGCUGAACUGACUAGAGAUACAACAGACCGGAGCUCUCUGACUCAGAGUGGCGUUUCUUAAGUUAUGGAAGAAAAUACUUACAGUCCAGCUAAAUAGUACCAGUGGAGAUAAUGCUCCAAAUUCUUCUAGAUUUCUACUUAAUACAAAGUAUGGUGAUUAUAUAGUUAGUGUUACACCUGCAGACACAACCCCAGCCAUUGAAACCCUUGACUCUUAGAAAUGUCAACAGGUAUUAACCAUGUCACUUCACUUAAUCUGCUCUUUAGCUGGUUUCAGGGAUGGUUAAGACUUCUGAGAACCAUAUUGGGUAAAAAAACAUUCUGGAUAUGACUUAAUACAAUACUAAAUUCAGCUUCAGUGCAAUUAAUGUAUUUACAGGACCAUUUUUCCUCUAUUUACAUGAAACAGCCCUAACGGUUCCACAGCUUAUGGGCACAACUCAGCCAAAGUAUUGUU
Gorilla gorilla gorilla (western lowland gorilla) is the source of this 8048-nucleotide long non-coding RNA. RefSeq lists it as uncharacterized. The record is from RefSeq and is a predicted model, not a curated record. The transcript has 6 exons. NCBI's taxonomy places the organism in Eukaryota, Metazoa, Chordata, Mammalia, Primates, Hominidae.